RNAcentral lists this RNase P RNA (408 nucleotides) under Moraxella sp. Its description in RNAcentral is "RNase P RNA component class A". It matches the Rfam family "Bacterial RNase P class A". Rfam says of the family: Ribonuclease P (RNase P) is a ubiquitous endoribonuclease, found in archaea, bacteria and eukarya as well as chloroplasts and mitochondria. Its best characterised activity is the generation of mature 5'-ends of tRNAs by cleaving the 5'-leader elements of precursor-tRNAs. Cellular RNase Ps are ribonucleoproteins. The record is from RNAcentral. Lineage: Bacteria; Pseudomonadati; Pseudomonadota; Gammaproteobacteria; Moraxellales; Moraxellaceae.
UUGGCAAGCCAGACAAUCGCUGUCCGACCGCUUGAUUUAAGGUGGUCGGAGGGAGGAAAGUCCGGGCUACAUAGGGCGACGUGCCAGCUAACGGCUGGGCAGAGCAAUCUGACGACAAGUGCAACAGAGAGCAGACCGCCCGACUACUCAGUCUAAUUAUUUGUUUUUAUCCGUAGAAACAGAUGUUUAGAUUGAGUAGUUGGGUAAGGGUGAAAGGGUGGGGUAAGAGCCCACCGCAUGGCUGGUAACAGUGCAUGGCAAGGUAAACUCCACGUGUAGCAAGACCAAAUAGGUGUCCAAUGGGUUGCCCGCUCAGGACACGGGUAGGUUGCUUGAGCGUGUCAGUGAUGGCACGCCUAGAUGAAUGAUUGUCCAAGACAGAACCCGGCUUAUCGGCUUGCCGCCUUU